UGAUCAUAUUGCCACAUCCUCCACUGCAGUUACCGCAGGAACCGCCACCGCAGGAGCCGCCACCGCAGCCACUGACCUUAGUCAACCCACCACAUCGUCCACCACCUCCACUGCAUCCACUACCACCUCCACAUCCACCAGAACCACCACAAUGACCACCUUCUUCUUCAGUAAUGUUCCCACUUUUUACACCACAACCAACACCGCAGCCACCGCUAGCGUUAAGCUCCUUAGAAUAGCACUUAGCACCACCAUUUACCUUCUCAGCUGCU
RNAcentral lists this long non-coding RNA (272 nucleotides) under Brassica napus (rape). Its description in RNAcentral is "long non-coding RNA (BNAP_LNC007064)". Lineage: Eukaryota; Viridiplantae; Streptophyta; Magnoliopsida; Brassicales; Brassicaceae. The record is from RNAcentral.